RNAcentral lists this ribosomal RNA (372 nucleotides) under uncultured bacterium. RNAcentral describes it as "bacterial SSU rRNA". It matches the Rfam family "Bacterial small subunit ribosomal RNA", at positions 524 to 898 of the family's 1533-position model. The record is from RNAcentral.
UACGGAGGGUGCGAGCGUUGUCCGGAUUUAUUGGGUUUAAAGGGUGCGUAGGCGGUUUAUUAAGUCAGUGGUGAAAGACGGUCGCUCAACGAUUGCAGUGCCAUUGAUACUGGUAGACUUGAGUUCGUAUGAGGUAGCUGGAAUGGAUAGUGUAGCGGUGAAAUGCAUAGAUAUUAUCCAGAACUCCAAUUGCGUAGGCAGGUUACUAAUACGAUACUGACGCUGAUGCACGAAAGUGUGGGGAUCAAACAGGAUUAGAUACCCUGGUAGUCCACACUGUAAACGAUGAUGACUAACUGUUUGCCCUUUGGGGUGAGUGGUACAGAGAAAUCGUUAAGUCAUCCACCUGGGGAGUACGCCGGCAACGGUGAA